Molecule: ribosomal RNA, 834 nt
Filed under: alpha proteobacterium SCGC AAA007-L14
Lineage: Bacteria; Pseudomonadati; Pseudomonadota; Alphaproteobacteria
Description: SSU rRNA
Rfam family: Bacterial small subunit ribosomal RNA
Source: RNAcentral
CGCUGGCGGCACGCCUAACACAUGCAAGUCGAACGCAGUAGCAAUACUGAGUGGCGAACGGGUGAGUAUAAUGUGGGUAUCUGCCUUUUGGUUUGGAAUAACACGAGGAAACUUGUGCUAAUACCGGAUAAGCCCUUACGGGGAAAGUUUUAACGCCGAAAGAUGAGCCCGCACUUGAUUAGCUAGUUGGUAAGGUAAUGGCUUACCAAGGCAACGAUCAAUAGUUGAUCUGAGAGGAUGAUCAGCCACAUUGGGACUGAGACACGGCCCAAACUCCUACGGGAGGCAGCAGUGGGGAAUCUUGCACAAUGGGGGAAACCCUGAUGCAGCGAUGCCGCGUGAGUGAAGAAGGCCUUUGGGUUGUAAAGCUCUUUCGUCGGGGAAGAAAAUGACUGUACCCGAAUAAGAAGGUCCGGCUAACUUCGUGCCAGCAGCCGCGGUAAUACGAAGGGACCUAGCGUAGUUCGGAAUUACUGGGCUUAAAGAGCACGUAGGUGGUUAGAAAAGUUGGUGGUGAAAUCCCAAGGCUUAACCUUGGAACUGCCAUCAAAACUUUUUGACUAGAGUGUGAUAGAGGUAAGCGGAAUUUCUAGUGUAGAGGUGAAAUUCGUAGAUAUUAGAAAGAACACCAAUUGCGAAGGCAGCUUUCUGGAUCAUUACUGACACUGAGGUGCGAAAGCAUGGGUAGCGAAGAGGAUUAGAUACCCUCGUAGUCCAUGCCGUAAACGAUGUGUGCUAGACGUUGGAAAUUUAUUUUUCAGUGUCGCAGCAAAAGCGUUAAGCACACCGCCUGGGGAGUACGACCGCAAGGUUAAACUUAAAAGUGAAUGGCGU